Molecule: ribosomal RNA, 263 nt
Filed under: uncultured bacterium
Lineage: Bacteria
Description: partial 16S ribosomal RNA
Rfam family: Bacterial small subunit ribosomal RNA
Source: RNAcentral
CCUACGGGACGCAGCAGUGGGGAAUAUUGGGCAAUGGGCGCAAGCCUGACCCAGCAACGCCGCGUGAAGGAAGAAGGCUUUCGGGAUGUAAACUUCUAUCCUCAGGGACGAAGCAAAUGACGGUACCUGAGUAAUAAGCCACGGCUAACUACGUGCCAGCAGCCGCGGUAAUACGUAGGUGGCAAGCGUUAUCCGGAUUUACUGGGUGUAAAGGGCGCGUAGGCGGCCAGACAAGUCUGAAGUGAAAACCACGGGCUCAACCU